AUUUUGAGAGUAAUAAAAUACUAUAUUUUUAUUUAUUUUUAACAUGUCGCAUGUUAAAAGAGCGACAUGUACGUCACACACCGAGUCCAAGCCAAUCUAGACCAACUUAGGAUAUAUUUGAUUCGGUAAUGUACAAAUGGUCAGCAUACGAGGGCCGCACCAUGCCAUGCAGGAUGAGUUGGUACCGAUUUUUAGAAUAUUCGGUGUAGAUGUUGUACCGUCUUUGUGCUGUGAUUUUGGUCGAACUAGCUCAUCUAGGAUGGAACGCACCGAGGCCUAGCGCCCUAGCCAUUCUGCUCACUCCCUUGAGCCUCGCUCACCCCUUGAGCCGCCGUCACCCAGCUCGCAGGCCAGCCAGGCUCCAUCAGAUCUGCUCGCCAGGCUGUCCCGCCAUUGCCACACCGGAGCUGAUCUAUGGUUUUCAGAACGUCCUCGGCGUGCUGUACCGUGGUGGCGACGCCUUCUUCGGCAGUGACUUCCCCGUCAUCCUGUUCAUUGUCGUUAACCGCAUCGUGUCCACCGACCUCACCGCCUCCUCCUCCCUCAAGCUCUUUUUCAAGUCCUCUUCCAACGUCAUCUGUCGCCACCGUAGCAAGUUGUGAGGUAAUGUGCAUCUGCUUUUGUCAUUUUCCCCAGAAUUUUUGGUGCUUGUGCUUGGUAGAUCUGUGUGGUUUGUUGACAUAUUUGGUACAUCCAUGGCAUAUGUGGCUGGCAGAUGAACUUGGUGUUGUGUUGCUGUUGGCAAAAAAGAAGAUAGAUGUAGGAAACCACAACAAUUGUGUGCUUGUUGCUGUUGGCAUAUGUGGCUGGCAGAUGAACUUGUUGAUGUUGGCCAAAAAAAAAAAAAGAUAGAUGUGCUUUACUAUUUUUCAGAUUGCUAGUUAUUUUUCAGACCUGGGUUCAUAGUUGUUCUGAAUUGUUGAUGCUGUUGUGAUGAGGGCAGACUGAUUAGCAUGUGUUGUAAUGAAGUCUUUUAAGAUGAGGGCAGGCUGAUUAGUAUGUUCUUUUUGAAAAAAGUUUUGAUGCCGUUCGGGAAACAUUUUUUGUCCUGAGAGAAUUGUUCUUGAAGGACUCUGAGUCUCUGAUACUCUGAUACCCAGAAAAUGAGGCUACCUGAUAGCAGGUAAAUAAUUCGAUCACUGAUAGCUGGUGCAUACUCUGUUUAUGUGGAGAGAAGGUAUGCUGGUGCAAACUUUUCUGAAAGGCCUCCAAGAGAUAAACAGAUGACUGAAGUUCUGAUACAAUUGACUGAAGUCAGAGUGUUAUUGAUACAAAUGACUGAAAGUACAAAUGAUUGAAGUCACAGUGUGUAAUUAACAGUCAGUCUGUUAUUGCUGACAACAGAUUGCUAAUUUUAGCAGUAGGAAUCAGUGACCCACUUGUAACUUAGGCCAUUGUGUAGGUCUGUCAUCUAAACAUUCACUAGAAUGUACUACUCUACAGGUUUUCAGCUCCUACUCAAGGAAAGAUUCAUGUUCUGUACAUUGUAAAACCAUUGGCUACUACUCUUGUUGACAUUUAAAACUUGGUCACUUGCAUGCAUUAGAUUUGUUCUGCUGAUUAUCAUUCGGUGAACAGUCCAACAGAGCAACGUAGGUGUGGCUGGAGAAUGCAAGAGGUGAGGUUAGCAAAGGAAGGGAGAAGAUGAUCAUAGAUGGAUAGAUUCAACCAAUCAAACAGCAGCUCGUACCAAUUCAUACAAUUCAAUACAGAUAAUCAAACAAAAACACACAAUUCAAUAUAGAUAAUCAAACAAAAACACGUAUCAUUCUAUACAAACAACUAAACAUCCUACCUAUAUCAUCCUAUACCAUAUCAUCUUAUUCAGUGAACAAGGCCAUACAUAUUCUAGUGCAACUAAUCAAAUUCGACACCGGACCCACCUUCUCCGACCCGCCACGUACUCCCUGGGCCCUCCCUCCCGCCAGCCGUGUGGACACCCGGCCCACCACUCCGCUAUCCCUGCUCCUCGGGCCCCACCUGUCCGCCUCCGAGUUAGAUCCGAGAGCGAAAGAAAGCCACGGCGCCGUCCCUCCCCGUCCCUGCCUGCGGCCGUCGCCCACCGUUUCUUCUCUGCUUCGGUGUCGGUGGUGCCGUGCAGCUCGCGCACAAGGAAUCCGUGCAGCUCAGCGCUUGCAGCCCGCCCGAACCAUCCCCCACCCGUGGCACGUCGGCCGUCUUCCUCGCGCCGCCGCGGAUCCAGCGAGGAAUCUGUCAGUGCCCAUGAUUUUAAUUCGUAAUGAUAAAGUCUGAGAAUCAACAUUAUUCGAGCAUUCUUUCAAUAUGGUGUCAGUGAAUCUUGGGUUAGUACAUUAUGUACUAGACCACAUAUAGGUGACUCUCCUUCAUCGCACGAAAUUAGGAACACCAUUUUUCUCAAAAGGAUGGGGAGGUACUAAACUUGAUUUGUUAGAGAGGAUGGUGAAGCAGUUAUUCCCUGAGGCACGUUGCCAAAACUGGAACCAACUACAAUGCAGCCCAUAUGGAAAACAGUAUGGGAGACAAAGAAUUCUUGUCUGCGAGAGGGUGUUUUCAGGACUACAUGUGAUGAGAAACUAAUUGAUGCUUUGCCUCCCGAGAGUCACAAUGCAAGAGUUGCUUUUCUUACUCCUAAAAAUGUUACACCAGAGAAGAUGUCUUGCGUGGUCCAUCUUGCAGGCACUGGUGAUCACACGUUUGAGCGUAGGCUUCGGCUUGGUGGACCUCUUUUGAAGGAGAAUAUCGCAACUAUAGUUCUUGAGAGCGACGUCCUAGCUUGCAGCAUGGAUCAAAGCUUCAGUGUGUGAGUGACUUGUUACUCUUAGGAAAAGCCACAAUUGAUGAAGCUCGCAGCCUCCUUUACUGGCUGCAGAUUGAGGCUGGCUAUGGCAAGAUGGGUAUAUGUGGGCUCAGCAUGGUUAUGUAUUAUGUAAUAUUGGUUUUUCCUCCUGAUUGAAUGUACUGAGUCUAGCUGUCAAAGCUGUCUCAUUCUUAUAAUUUCCCAGUUUUAGAUUCUUGUUUGCUGAUGCCACAGGUGGUGUACAUGCUGCAAUGGUGGGAUCCCUUCAUCCUACACCAAUUGCCACACUACCAUUUCUUGCUCCUCACUCUGCUGUCGUACCUUUCUGUGAAGGUGUCUACCAAUAUGCCACAGCUUGGGAUGCAUUGAGAAAAGAUGC
This is a long non-coding RNA of Phragmites australis (common reed), 3158 nucleotides long. RefSeq lists it as uncharacterized. The transcript is spliced from 6 exons. Lineage: Eukaryota; Viridiplantae; Streptophyta; Magnoliopsida; Poales; Poaceae. The record is from RefSeq and is a predicted model, not a curated record.